This 217-nucleotide long non-coding RNA is filed under the name Gallus gallus (chicken). The record is from RNAcentral. Lineage: Eukaryota; Metazoa; Chordata; Aves; Galliformes; Phasianidae.
CAGCAACUCUUAUUCUUGGAGUGAACGCCUGAUUCCCUGGAAAGGAUUGACGGGACCCAAACAAACCCUGCAACAAUCCCAAAUUUCACGAGUAGGGGGAAAAAAAAUAUAUUCUCCAGAGAUCAAAACUCGAGUGAAUCAUUUUCCACCACUCUGACAUGUCAAAUACUCCGGUGAUUCACCCGUCGAGGAGCUCUGAUUCACCCGCAGCAAACAG